Molecule: ribosomal RNA, 464 nt
Filed under: uncultured Halothiobacillus sp.
Lineage: Bacteria; Pseudomonadati; Pseudomonadota; Gammaproteobacteria; Chromatiales; Halothiobacillaceae
Description: bacterial SSU rRNA
Rfam family: Bacterial small subunit ribosomal RNA
Source: RNAcentral
ACAAGCGGUGGAGUAUGUGGUUUAAUUCGACGCAACGCGCAGAACCUUACCUAGACUUGACAUCCCGGGGAUUUUCUGGAAACAGAGAAGUGCUUUAGCAAUAAAGAACCCGGUGACAGGUGCUGCAUGGCUGUCGUCAGCUCGUGUCGUGAGAUGUUGGGUUAAGUCCCGUAACGAGCGCAACCCUUGUCCUUAGUUACCAGCACGUAAUGGUGGGCACUCUAAGGAGACUGCCGGUGACAAACCGGAGGAAGGUGGGGAUGACGUCAAAUCAUCAUGCCCCUUAUGUUCUGGGCUACACACGUGCUACAAUGGCCGGUACAGACGGACGCAAAGCCGCGAGGUGGAGCAAAUCCUAAAAAGCCGGUCUCAGUUCGGAUUGCAGGCUGCAAUUCGCCUGCAUGAAGUCGGAAUCGCUAGUAAUCGCAGGUCAGCAUACUGCGGUGAAUACGUUCCCGGGCCUU